AUUUCUUGGGCUGCUCCCACGGCAUAUGGAGGUUCCCAGGCUAGGAGUCAACCAGAGCUGUAGCCACCAGCCUACGUCACAGUCACAGCAACACGGGCUCUGAGUUGCAUCUGUGACUUACACCACAGCUCAUGGCAAUGCUGGAUCCUUAACCCACUGAGCAAGGCCUUGGAUUGAACCCGCAACCUCAUGGUUCCUGGUUGGAUUCGUUAACCACUGAGCCAUGAUGGGAACUCUGGAAGUAUAGAGAAAUAUAAAGACAAGUAACAUUGUACAAACUAUGUGUGCUUACUAAAAGUACUGUAAAAGUUAUAUUUGCAGGAAGCAAAUAAAUACAGACAAAAAGAAUCAAAUGUGCAUAUAUGACCUAGAUAAUAGUGAACAAGAAAUUAAUUAAAAACAUAUUACCACAUUUAAUUAAGAAAUUUAUUGCUGCACCUGGAGCAUAUGGGAGUUCCUGGGCCAGGGGUUGAAUCUGAGCUGCAGCUGAGACCUACGCUGGUUCCUUUAACCUGCUGCAUGGCAGGAUUGAAACUGCACCUGCUCAGUGACCAGAGCCAUUGCUAUUGGGUUCAUAACCCACUGUGCCACAGUGGGAACUCCUAAUUAAUUUUAACAUAUGUAUAUUUAAACUUUCUUUUUUAAACGUAUAUGUAUUUUUUCUUUUUAAAAAUAGAUCAUCAUCUGAGGAGAGUGAGCAGGAGAAAUUCAGGCUCAGUCAAGAAAUAAAUAAACAACACAAAGAAUGACAAGAGUAGACACAACUUUAACGAAGAGAAAUUUAAAGUAAAUACCACACACUGAUACUGAUUUACACGGUACCAAAAAUUGGAAAACAGAGACUAAACAGACUAUUAUCCAGAAAAACACCUUAACCAAAAUUGUCUCAGGAAAAUCUGUUUUAUGGAGCAAACCGUAAUUUGAAAAGAUACAUGUAUCCCAUUGUUCACUGCAGCACUAUUCCCAAAAGCCAAGACAUGGGAGGAACCUAAGUAUUCAUUAGCAAAGGACUGGAGAAGGAAGAUGUGGAGAAGAGGCCACCACUCAGCCACAGAAAAGCAUGAAGAAGUGCCACUGGCAGCAGCGUGGAUGGCUCUGGAGGUUAUCAUGCCAACCAAAGUAGUCAGAGAAAGACAAAUAUCAUAUAGUAUCACUUACACGUAGAAUCUAAAAAAAGAUACAAAUGAAAUUGUUUACAAAACAGAAGUGAACUCACAGACAUGGAGAGUAAACUUACGGUUACCAAUGGGAAAAGAGAGAGAAGGAAUAAAUUGAGAAUUUGGGAUUCACACACACACACACACACACUACUGUACAUAAAAUAGAUAAACACGGUCCUACUGUAUAGCCCAGGGAACUAUACUCAGUAUCGUGUAUGAACCUAUAAUAGAAAAGACCCUGAAUCUCUUUGCUGUGCUUCUGAAAGUAACACAACAUUGUAAAUCAACUACACUGCAAUUAAAAAAGAAAAUUUUUCUUUUAAAAAACUUAAACCAAUAACAUUUAAAGGAAACACGUUUAUUCUGUCCUUCAAAUGACAAGAGUUGACUUUUUUUUAACACACAACUUCUAACAAAUCAUCAUGACAAACUAUUCCAAGAACAUAGCAAAAUAAAAUUAUGCAACUUAUUUUAUGAGGCAAAUAUAGAUUUCCUCAUAAAACACUAAAUCUACACAAGGAAAAUAAAAAUCUAGAACAAUUUUACCCUUGAACAUAUUUUUUAAGAAAUCCCACCAAAAAAUAGUGACUACAGCAGUAUUUAAAGAAAAUAGAGCAUGAACAGGUGGGAUUUAUCACAGGAAUGCAAUAUUGUCUAUUACUGCAAUUGCUCAUAUUAAUAAGGUAAAUGAAAGAAACAGCAUUAUAUAUGGCACCACAAAUGCAGAAAAAGCAGUCAAAAUCCUUGUGGACACUGAUGACAAUAAUUUUUAUUAGCAAACUAGAUAGGAGGUUUUUUUUUUUUAACUGUAAAAAUAUCUGUUGAGAUGGGAUUAAGAUUGCAGAACAGAAGACUGGAGCUCAGCUUCUCUCAUAAAAACAACAAAAUUACAACCAAAUGCUGAACAACCUUCAACCAGAUACACUGGAGACUUUCAAAACAGAUAUCCUACUCUAGAAGACAAAGAGGAGGUCACGUCAAGGUGGCAGGAGGGGUGGUUACGUGAUAUAAGCAACCCCAUCCAUACACGCCGGGUGGGCAGCCCACAGACUGGAGAGUAACUAUGACAGAGACUCACCUACAGGAGUGAGAGUUCUGAGCCCCACAUCAGGCCCCAAUGCCUGGGGACCUGGCACUGGGAGAAAGAGCCCACCAGAGCUUCUGGCAUCGAUGGCCAGUGGGGCUUGUGCGCAGGAGAUCCAGGGGACUGAGGGAAACGGAGACCCCAUUUUUGAAAGGAGCACACAGACCUUCAUGUACACUGGGUCCCAGGGCAAAGCAGAGACUCCCUAGGAAUCUGGGUUGGACCUGACUGCAGUUCGUGGAGAAUCUCCUGGGAAAACAGGGGUGAAUGUGGCUCAUUGUGGGGGAAGGACAUUGGAAGCAAAGCUCUUGGGAAUCUUUAGCAGCAUGCCUUUCUCUGGAGGUGGCCUGUUUUUUGGGAAAAUCUGGCCCCACCCAUUGGUGCUGAGAAGCCCCAGGCCAAACAACAAUCCAGGUGGGAUCACAGCCCUGCCCAUCAGUAAACAGGCUGCCUAAAGACCCCCCAGGCACACAGCCAACCUUUAUUCUCACCCAGAGACAAAGCCCCACCCACCAGAGGGAUAGGAAUCAGCCCCACCUACCAAUGGGUAGGCACCAGUCCCUCCCAUCUGGAAGCCUACAGCAAGCCCCCAUACCAACUUCAGCCACAAGGGGGGCAGACACCAGAAGAAAGAGAGAGUACAACUCUAUAGUCUGCAAAAAGGAGAACACACCAAAAACCUAUAAAAAUGAAAAGGCCAAGAGCUAUAACUCAGGUAAGGGAGAAAGAAAACCCAGAAAAACAGCUAGGUGAUCUGGAGAUUAUCAGCCUCAAGGAAAAAGACUUUAGACUGAUGAUGCUGAAGAUGAUGUAAGACACUGGAAAUAAACUGGAGGCAAAGAUGGGUAACUUACAGGAAACACUGAGCAAAGAGAUAGAAGAUACAAAACUUAAGUAAGGAGAGAUGCAAAAUACAGUAACUGAAAUAAAAAAUUCAUUAGAAGCAGCCAACAGCAGAAUAUAGGAGGCAGAAUGAAUAAGUGAGGUGGAGGACAGACUAGUGGAAAUCACGGAUGCAGAACAGAAAAGAAAAAAAGAUUGAAAACAAAUGAAGACAGUCUCAGAGAACUCUGGGACAACGUUAAACACACCAACAUCCAUAUUAUAGCGGUGCCAGAAGGAGGAGAGAGAGAGAAGGGGACAGAAAAAAUAUUCAAAGAGAUAAUAGUCGAAAAUUUCUCUAACAUGGGAAAGGAACCACUCACUCAAAUCCAGGAAGCACAACGAGUACCAUAUAAUAUAAACCCAAGGAGGAGCACCCCGAGACACGUAUUAAUCAAACUGACCAAAAUUAAAGGCAAAGAGAAAAUAUUGAAAGCAGCUAGGGAAAAGAAACAUAACAUAUAAGGGAGCCCCGAUGAGGUUAUUGGCAGAUUUUCAGCAGAAACUCUGCAGGGCAGAAGGGAGUGGCAUGAUAUACUUAAGGUGAUGAAAGGAAAAAACCUCCAACCAAGAUUACUUUACCCAGCAAGGUGCUCAUAUAUAUAUAUAUACAUACACACACACACUCCUACAUCAAAACUUCAGGGAAACUGCAAACCAAACCUACAACUGAUACACAAAUACGAAAGAUUAACUCAAAUACAACACUAAAGACAGUCAUCAAACCACAAGAGGAAAGAACAAGAAGGGAAGAAAAAAGAGCAACAAAACCAAAUCUGAAACAGUUGAUAAAAUGGCAAGAAGAACAUACACAUCAAGAAUUACUUUGCACUGCAAAUGGACUAAAUGGCCCAACCAAAAGACAUAGACAGGCUGAAUGGAUACAAAAACAAGAUUCAUAUACAUGCUGUCUUCAAGAGACACAUUUCACUUCUGGGGACACAUACGAAUUGAAAGAGGAUGGAAGAAAAUAUUCCAUGCAAACAGGAAUCAAAAGAAAGCUGCAGUAGCAAUACUCAUAUCAGAUAAAACAGACCUUAAAAUGAAGAAUAUUUUAAGAGCCAUGGAAGGACAUUACAUAAUGAUAAAGAAUCAAUCAAAGAAGAAGAUAUAACAAUUUUAAAUAUCUAUGCACCCAACAUAGUUGCACAAUAUAUAAGGCAACUGCUAACAACCCUAAAAGGAUAAAGUGACAAUAACACAGCAAUAGUGGGGGACUUUGACUCCCCACUUACAGCAAUGGACAGAUCAUCCAGACAGAAAAUCAACAAAGAAACACGGGCCUAAAUCAAGCACUAGACCAGAUGGACCUAAUAGAUAUUUAUAGAACAUUCCAUCCAAAAGCAGCAGAAUACCGAUUCUUCUGAAGUGCACACGGACCAUCUCUAGGACUGAUCACAUUCUGGGCCACAAAACAAGUCUUGGCAACUUUAAGAAAACAAAUCAUAUCAAGCAUCUUUUCUGACCACAACACUAUAGAAGAUAUCAACAACAAAAACUGCAAAAACCAUAAACACAUGGAAACUAAACAGCAUGCUACUAAACAACCAAUGGAUCACUAAAGAAAUCAAAGAGGAAAUUAAAAAAAAAUACAUAGAAGCAAAUGACAACAAAGAUACAACACUCCAAAACCUAUGCAAUGUAGCAAAAGCAGUUCCAAGAGGGACAUUUAUAGCAAUAUGAGCCUACCUCAGGAAAUAAGGAAAAACUCAAAUAAACAGUCUAACUUUACAUCUAAAGCAGCUAGAGAGACAAGACCUAAAGUUAGCAGAAGGAAAGAAAUUAUAAAGAUUGGAACAGAAAUAAAUGAAAUAGAAAUGAAGAAAACCAUAGAAGAUACCAAUGAAACUAAAGGCUGGUUCUUUGAAAAGAUCAACAAAGUUGAUAAACCCUUAGCCAGACUUACCAAGAAAAAAAGAGAGGACUCAAAUCAAUAAAAUUAGGAAUGAAAAAGAAGUUACAAGGACAUCACAGAAAUAAAAAGGAUCAUAAGAGACUACUAUAUGCAACUACUUGCCAGUAAAACAGAAAACCUAGAAGAAAUGGACAAAUUCUUAGAAAAGCACAAUCUUCCAAGACUAAACCAAGAUGAAAUAGAAAAGAUGAAUGGACCAAUCACAAGAACUGAAAUUGAAACUGUGAUUUAAAAACCUCUAACAAACAAAAGUGCAGGCCCAGAUUUCCAUCAAACAUUCAGAGAAGAGUUAACAUCCAUCCUUCUGAAACUAUUCCAAGAAACUGCAGAGGAAGGAAUACUCUCAAACUCAUUCCACGAGGCCACCAUCACCCAAUCAAAGAUAACCACAAAAAAAAAAAUUAUGGGCUGAUAUCACUGAUGAACAUAGAUGCAAAAAUCCUCAACAAAAUAAUAGCAAACCGAAUGCAACAACACAUUAAAAGGACUGUACAUCAGGAUCAAGUGGGAUUUAUCCCAGGGAUGCAAAGAUUCUUCAGUAUUUGCAAAUCAAUCAUUGUGAUACACCACAUUAACAACUGAAGAAUAGAAACUAUAAGAUCCUCUCAACAGAUGCAGAAAAAGCCUUUGACAAAAUCCAACACCCCUUUCUGAUAAGAACCCUUUAGAAAGUGGGCAUAGAAGGAACCUACCUCAGCAUAACAAAAGCCAUAUAUGACAAACCCACAGCUAACAUAAUUCUCAAUGGUGAAAAGCUGAAAGAGUUCCCGAUGAGAAUAGGAACAAGACAGUGAUGCCCGCUCUUUCCUCUACCAUUCAGCAUAGUUUUGGAAGUCCUGGCCACGGCAAUCAGAAAAAAAAAAACAAAAGGAAAGAAAAGGAAUCGAAACUGGAAAGGAAGAAGUAAAACUAUCACUACUUGCAGAUGACAUGAUACUAUACCUAGAAAAUCCAAAGACGCUAGAGAAAACUGUUACAGCUCAUCAAUGAAUUUAGCAAAGCCGCAGGAUACAAAAUUAAUACACAGAAAUCAACUGCAUUCUAUAAACUAACAAUGAGAGGUCAGUUAGGGAAACAAUCCCACUUACUCUCACAUCAAAAAGAAUAAAAUACUUAGGAAUAAACCUACAUAAAGAGUCAAAAGACCUAUACUCUGAAAACUGUAAGAUGCUGAUGAAAGAAAUCAAAGAUGACACAAACAGAUGGAAAGACAUACAUACCAUGCUCUUGGAUUGGAAGAGUCAAUAUUAUCAAAAUGACUAUACUACCUAAGGCAAUCUACAGAUUCAGUGCAAUCCCUAUCAU
Molecule: long non-coding RNA, 6346 nt
Filed under: Sus scrofa (pig)
Lineage: Eukaryota; Metazoa; Chordata; Mammalia; Artiodactyla; Suidae
Description: lncRNA (ENSSSCG00035036802.1, ENSSSCG00065034068.1)
Source: RNAcentral